GCCAGACUCCUACGGGAGGCAGCAGUGGGGGAUAUUGCACAAUGGGGGAAACCCUGAUGCAGCGACGCCGCGUGUGGGAAGACGGUCCUCUGGAUUGUAAACCACUGUCCCCAGGGACGAAGAUGACGGUACCUGGGGAGGAAGCUCCGGCUAACUACGUGCCAGCAGCCGCGGUAAUACGUAGGGAGCGAGCGUUGUCCGGAAUUACUGGGUGUAAAGGGCGUGUAGCCGGGAAGGCAAGUCAGAUGUGAAAUCCGGAGGCUCAACCUCCGAAUUGCAUUUGAAACUGUUUUUCUUGAGUACUGGAGAGGCAGACGGAAUUCCUUGUGUAGCGGUGAAAUGCGUAGAUAUUAGGAGGAACACCAGUGGCGAAGGCGGCCUGCUGGACGACAACUGACGGUGGGGCGCGAAAGCGUGGGGAGCAAACAGGAUUAGAUACCCCUGUAA
Molecule: ribosomal RNA, 447 nt
Filed under: uncultured bacterium
Lineage: Bacteria
Description: bacterial SSU rRNA
Rfam family: Bacterial small subunit ribosomal RNA
Source: RNAcentral